Molecule: ribosomal RNA, 1290 nt
Filed under: metagenome
Description: bacterial LSU rRNA
Rfam family: Bacterial large subunit ribosomal RNA
Source: RNAcentral
GCUGGGAGUAGACCCGAAACCGGGUGAUCUAUCCAUGGCCAGGGUGAAGGUUAGGUAAAACUAACUGGAGGCCCGAACCCACUUAUGUUGAAAAAUGAGGGGAUGAGCUGUGGAUAGGGGUGAAAGGCCAAACAAACCCGGAGAUAGCUGGUUCUCUCCGAAAUCUAUUUAGGUAGAGCCUCAUGUAUUACUUCAGGGGGUAGAGCACUGUUAUGGCUAGCGGGUCGUCAAGACUUAGUAAACCAUUGCAAACUCCGAAUACCUGAAAGUAUAAGCAUGGGAGACACACUGCGGGUGCUAACGUCCGUAGUGGAAAGGGAAACAACCCAGACCGUCAGCUAAGGUCCCAAAAUUGUAGUUAAGUGGGAAACGAUGUGAAAAGGCCCAGACAGCCAGGAGGUUGGCUUAGAAGCAGCCAUUCCUUUAAAGAGUGCGUAAUAGCUCACUGGUCGAGUCGGUUUGCGCGGAAGAUUUAACGGGGCUAAAACUACAUACCGAAGCUACGGAUCAUAAUUUAUUAUGAUGGUAGGAGAGCGUUCUGUAAGCCGUUGAAGGUGUCCUGUGAGGGAUGCUGGAGGUAUCAGAAGUGCGAAUGCUGACAUGAGUAACGAUAAAGGGGGUGAAAAACCCCCUCGCCAGAAGUCCAAGGUUUCCUACGCAACGUUAAUCGGCGUAGGGUUAGUCGGCCCCUAAGGCGAGGCAGAAAUGCGUAGUCGAUGGGAAACAGGUUAAUAUUCCUGUACUUCAUAUAACUGCGAUGGGAAGACGGAGAAGGUUAGCUCAGCAAGGCGAUGGUUGUCCUUGUUCAAGCGUGUAGAAAUGGUUCUUAGGAAAAUCCGGGAACCUCUAUUUCAAGGCGUGAUAACGAGCCCUCUUUUGGGCGAAGUGAGUGAUACCAUGCUUCCAGGAAAAUCCUCUAAGCUAUAGGUUAUAUGAAACCGUACCCCAAACCGACACAGGUGGACGAGAUGAGAAUUCUAAGGCGCUUGAGAGAACUCGGGUGAAGGAACUAGGCAAAAUGACACCGUAACUUCGGGAGAAGGUGUGCUCUUUGUAGGUGAAAUCACUAGCUGAUGAAGCUGAAAAGAGUUGAAGAAACCAGGUGGCUCCGACUGUUUAUUAAAAACACAGCACUCUGCAAACACGUAAGUGGACGUAUAGGGUGUGACGCCUGCCCGGUGCUUGAAGGUUAAUUGAUGAGGUUAGGAUUUAUCCGAAGCUUUUGAUCGAAGCCCAAGUAAACGGCGGCCGUAACUAUAACGGUCCUAAGGUAGCGAAAUUCCUUGUCGG